RNAcentral lists this ribosomal RNA (642 nucleotides) under uncultured bacterium. RNAcentral describes it as "bacterial SSU rRNA". It matches the Rfam family "Bacterial small subunit ribosomal RNA", at positions 232 to 885 of the family's 1533-position model. The record is from RNAcentral.
CGCGGCCUAUCAGCUUGUUGGUGGGGUAACGGCCUACCAAGGCGACGACGGGUAGCCGGCCUGAGAGGGCGACCGGCCACACUGGGACUGAGACACGGCCCAGACUCCUACGGGAGGCAGCAGUGGGGAAUAUUGCGCAAUGGGCGAAAGCCUGACGCAGCGACGCCGCGUGGGGGAUGAAGGCCUUCGGGUUGUAAACCCCUUUCGGCAGGGACGAAGCGAAAGUGACGGUACCUGCAGAAGAAGCGCCGGCUAACUACGUGCCAGCAGCCGCGGUAACACGUAGGGCGCAAGCGUUGUCCGGAAUCAUUGGGCGUAAAGAGCUCGUAGGUGGUUUGUCACGUCUGCUGUGAAAACUCGGGGCUUAACCCCGAGCUUGCAGUGGAUACGGGCAGACUAGAGGUAGGUAGGGGAGGAUGGAAUUCCCGGUGUAGCGGUGAAAUGCGCAGAUAUCGGGAGGAACACCGGUGGCGAAGGCGGUUCUCUGGGCCUUACCUGACACUGAGGAGCGAAAGCGUGGGGAGCGAACAGGAUUAGAUACCCUGGUAGUCCACGCCGUAAACGUUGGGCGCUAGGUGUGGGGUCCUUCCACGGAUUCCGUGCCGCAGCUAACGCAUUAAGCGCCCCGCCUGGGGAGUACGG